Molecule: ribosomal RNA, 468 nt
Filed under: uncultured bacterium
Lineage: Bacteria
Description: partial 16S ribosomal RNA
Rfam family: Bacterial small subunit ribosomal RNA
Source: RNAcentral
GACGAACGCUGGCGGCGUGCUUAACACAUGCAAGUCGAACGAAAAGGCCCUGCUUUUGUUGGUUGCUCGAGUGGCGCACGGGUGAGUAACACGUGAGUAACCUGCCCUUAACUUUGUGAUAACUUUUGGAAACUCCGGCUCAUAUCGGAUAUGAGCUACUGCUGCAUGGUGUGGGUUGGAAAGUUUCGGCUGUUGUGGAUGGUCUCGCAGCUUAUCAGCUGCUUGUUGUGGUUGUGGCUUACCACGGCUUUGACGGGUAGCCGACCUGGGAGGGUGGCCGGCCACCAUGGGACUGAGAUAGGGCCCAGACUGCUACGGGAGGCAGCAGUGGGGAAUCUUGCAGAAUGGGCGGAAGCGUGAUGCAGAAACGCCGCGUGCGGGAUGACGGCCUUCGGGGUGUAAACCGAUUUCGACGGUGGCGAAGAGUGAGUGACGGUAAUGGGUAAAGAAGCACCGGCUAACUACGUG